RNAcentral lists this ribosomal RNA (253 nucleotides) under uncultured bacterium. RNAcentral's name for it is "partial 16S ribosomal RNA". It matches the Rfam family "Bacterial small subunit ribosomal RNA", at positions 524 to 776 of the family's 1533-position model. The record is from RNAcentral. RNAcentral also lists the same sequence under 1 other name.
GACAGAGGUUGCAAGCGUUGUUCGGAAUCACUGGGCGUAAAGGGCGUGUAGGCGGCGGAGUAUGUCCGACGUGAAAUCCCUCGGCUUAACUGGGGAAGUGCAUCGGAAACUGCUCUGCUUGAGUGCGAGAGAGGGUGGCGGAAUUCCCAGAGUAGAGGUGAAAUUCGUAGAGACUGGGAGGAACACCAGAGGCGAAGGCGGCCACCUGGAUCGCAACUGACGCUGAGACGCGAAAGCGUGGGGAGCAAACAGG